This 849-nucleotide long non-coding RNA is filed under the name Suricata suricatta (meerkat). Its description in RNAcentral is "lncRNA (ENSSSUG00005016982.1)". The record is from RNAcentral. Lineage: Eukaryota; Metazoa; Chordata; Mammalia; Carnivora; Herpestidae.
GCGGUGCUAUAUGGUCCCAUUUAAUGAUAUAUCCCUAACAUGCCUGCUUGAGGUGGUGCAGAAAGCCUGGGCCGAAGGAAGUCAGAUCUGAAGGGCUACAGGAAAGGAGGAGGGAGAGAAACAUCUCCUGUGCUCACCAAGACCCCCAGACACUGGGGCCAGCCGCAAAUUCCUUCCAGUUUGUAAAAACGCGGUUUGGUGACAGGCACUGAAAGAGAGUGAGACAUCACAAGGGGUGACAGUGCAGCUCUGACAACACAAAUGAAAUGAGAAAGGCAGUCAGCCCAGGCUGGCUCCUUUGGAAUUCCAGAGAAUUCCCGACGCUGAUUUCGUCCAUGUUCGAAUUCGUUUAGCACUCCUUUCCAACGACCUCUCUGUGGGCCAGGACAUGUUCACUCCUCUCCAGGACGUCCGGCUAUUCGGAGAAGGCCUCACGGAAGGAAAGAAAGUACACCGCACGAUGACCCACGCGGGAGCCAGAAACCGCUCUCCCCUCUCUCGCGGAAUCCUCCGGAGCUUCCCUCCCACCGGCUCGGCGCAAACCGUCGCUGGGCUUCCCCCUACUUGUGAAGCAACCCUGUCUCCUCAGCAGAGCAGGACCUGUUUGACGAAUGGUGGCAGAGGGCUGAGGGGGAAGUGGAUUUUGAUCGCCUUGAUUGCAAGAAUCCAGACGUUUAAAGGUCUCCACGUUGUUUGGAUUUGGCAGCUUUGGGGCUGAAAAAAAUCUCUACAAUGUGCAAGAGUCCAGAGAAGAGGCAAAAAAACAAACUGCUGGUGAAUAUAAUUUUAUAAAGGACUGGGAAAUCAUCUCUAUUUAAACUCUGCCAGAAUCUUCUCUUCUGUUUUCCU